UACGUAGGUGGCAAGCGUUGUCCGGAUUUAUUGGGCGUAAAGAGCGUGUAGGCGGCCAAACAGGUCCACUGUGAAAACUCGAGGCUCAACCUCGAGAGGUCGGCGGAAACUGUCUGGCUAGAGUCCGGAAGAGGAGAGUGGAAUUCCAGGUGUAGCGGUGAAAUGCGUAGAUAUCUGGAGGAACACCGGUGGCGAAGGCGGCAUCCUGGACCGGUAUUGACGCUGAGGCGCGAAAGCUAGGGGAGCAAACGGG
RNAcentral lists this ribosomal RNA (253 nucleotides) under uncultured bacterium. RNAcentral's name for it is "partial 16S ribosomal RNA". It matches the Rfam family "Bacterial small subunit ribosomal RNA", at positions 524 to 776 of the family's 1533-position model. The record is from RNAcentral.